AUGGCCUAGAGGAUGUGAAUUGCACUCAAAUAUAUGCAGGUUUCUUGCCAAACUAACUGCCACUAUUGUAUUUCAGGUCAAGAGCCAUGAAUAGGAGCAAGGCAUCACACUCCAACUCUGAGAAGAAAAGGAUAUGAAGACAAAGAUAUCAGUGUUCUGCUCCGAAGCAAAAACAUUUUGCGUGUAAUAAUGAACUGUAAUUUACCACAAUCUCUAAAACAGGCCUACCUA
Molecule: non-coding RNA, 231 nt
Organism: Triticum urartu
Lineage: Eukaryota; Viridiplantae; Streptophyta; Magnoliopsida; Poales; Poaceae
Source: RefSeq, a predicted model, not a curated record